This 343-nucleotide long non-coding RNA is filed under the name Trifolium pratense (red clover). RNAcentral's name for it is "long non-coding RNA (TPRA_LNC010317)". Lineage: Eukaryota; Viridiplantae; Streptophyta; Magnoliopsida; Fabales; Fabaceae. The record is from RNAcentral.
CCCAACCAGCAGAAGAAGAAUUGCCACGUGAACAGCUGAUUCAUAAUGCAGCAGGUGGACCCAAAGCUCUACUGGUUUAUUCUAGAAGGAAGGGCAGAAAGGGUAUUGGUGGCUAGUUAGUUACGAUAGAGGUGACGUGUCUAGGAGUGAGGGGAGCAUCUUUGUUUUACUUUCCAUAAUAUAAGGAGUCAGUGAGGGAAUGUAGAUCUUAUCUUGAUAUUUUGUUAUUAUCAUGAGAAUGGGUAGAGAGUAUUGACUCUCUAUUAGAAGCUCUGCUCUUGUCAGAUCUAGGGAUUGUAAUUCCUUUUUCUGUAUUUGAUUUCCUUUGCAAUCAAUAUAAUAA